RNAcentral lists this ribosomal RNA (468 nucleotides) under uncultured bacterium. Its description in RNAcentral is "partial 16S ribosomal RNA". It matches the Rfam family "Bacterial small subunit ribosomal RNA", at positions 28 to 507 of the family's 1533-position model. The record is from RNAcentral.
GACGAACGCUGGCGGCGUGCUUAACACAUGCAAGUCGAACGGAAAGGCCCUGCUUUUGUGGGGUGCUCGAGUGGCGAACGGGUGAGUAACACGUGAGUAACCUGCCCUUGACUUUGGGAUAACUUCAGGAAACUGGGGCUAAUACCGGAUAGGAGCUCCUGCUGCAUGGUGGGGGUUGGAAAGUUUCGGCGGUUGGGGAUGGACUCGCGGCUUAUCAGCUUGUUGGUGGGGUAGUGGCUUACCAAGGCUUUGACGGGUAGCCGGCCUGAGAGGGUGACCGGCCACAAUGGGACUGAGAUACGGCCCAGACUCGUACGGGAGGCAGCAGUGGGGAAUAUUGCACAAUGGGGGGAAGCCUGAUGCAGAAACGCCGCGUGCGGGAUGACGGCCUUCGGGUUGUAAACCGCUUUGGAAUGUGACGAAGAGUGAGUGACGGUAAUGGGUAAAGAAGCACCGGCUAACUACGUG